GACGAACGCUGGCGGCGUGCUUAACACAUGCAAGUCGAACGGAAAGGCCCUGCUUUUGUGGGGUGCUCGAGUGGCGAACGGGUGAGUAACACGUGAGUAACCUGCCCUUGACUUUGGGAUAACUUCAGGAAACUGGGGCUAAUACCGGAUAGGAGCUCCUGCUGCAUGGUGGGGGUUGGAAAGUUUCGGCGGUUGGGGAUGGACUCGCGGCUUAUCAGCUUGUUGGUGGGGUAGUGGCUUACCAAGGCUUUGACGGGUAGCCGGCCUGAGAGGGUGACCGGAAACAUUGGGACUGAGAUAAGGCCCAGACUCCUACGGGAGGCAGCAGUGGGGAAUAUUGCACAAUGGGCGGAAGCCUGAUGCAGCAAAGCCGCGUGCGGGAUGAAGGCCUUCGGGUUGUAAACCGCUUUCGCCUGUGACGAAGCGUGAGUGACGGUAAUGGGUAAAGAAGCACCGGCUAACUACGUG
This 468-nucleotide ribosomal RNA is filed under the name uncultured bacterium. Its description in RNAcentral is "partial 16S ribosomal RNA". It matches the Rfam family "Bacterial small subunit ribosomal RNA", at positions 28 to 507 of the family's 1533-position model. The record is from RNAcentral.